AUGCAGCAUAUGUGGCCUUAAACUUAAGCUUAAAGAAAGGCUUGAUAGGCACCUGGAGUGGCAUACUUGGAGGAAGCCAGAACAAGAUGAUAUGAGUAAGGUUACAAGGAGAUGGUAUGCUGGGUUAGGGGACUGGGUUACUGGAAAGGUAGAGCUUCCAUUUGGAACUGAGUCUUCUGUUUACACAGAUGAAUUAACAGGGUCAAUCAAUGAAAAUGAACCUAUGGUUCCUGCAGAUGAAGA
This 243-nucleotide unclassified non-coding RNA is filed under the name Hevea brasiliensis (rubber tree). The record is from RNAcentral. Lineage: Eukaryota; Viridiplantae; Streptophyta; Magnoliopsida; Malpighiales; Euphorbiaceae.